Molecule: unclassified non-coding RNA, 141 nt
Filed under: soil metagenome
Description: partial internal transcribed spacer 1
Source: RNAcentral
UCAAAACAGCGGACCUUCGGGCCUCGCUGCACCCUUGUCUUUUGCGCACCGUAUUGUUUCCUCGGCGGGCUUGCCUGCCGGUUGGACAUCAUAAAACCUCUUUGUAGUUGCAAUCAGCGUCAGAAAAACAAUAAUUAUUUA